ACUCAAUAGUAUUAAAAAAAAAGUUGAGGGAGUUGGUAAAUGGUUAUGUUAUGGGCAUGAGUGUAAAUACACAAGGGACAACGGAGUCGCACUGUACAGUGUACACCCCUGCGCAAUAUAGCAAUUCUCAUUUCAUUGGUAGGUAGUAGGGAACAAAAGCUUAGCAGCGUUGCUUCUCAUCCUCUUCUCGGCUAGUCGCCUACCGGUACCGCCAAGCCCCGUUUGGGGAGACACGAGGAGAAUUCUCAUGGCGGCAACUCUGCUCUCCAAGCCUACGCUUUCCUCUAUUUUCCUCGGCCAGCAAUUAUGCAAUAGAGGAAAUUCGAAGAGUUCUCCACAGUGUGGGUGGAUUCUCUCGAAGAGGUCUCAGUCGCGUGGGUUGAGCCUCAUGGUCCCCAGGUGUGCGGUGGAUACAGCGUCGU
Ipomoea triloba (trilobed morning glory) is the source of this 422-nucleotide long non-coding RNA. RefSeq lists it as uncharacterized. The record is from RefSeq and is a predicted model, not a curated record. Lineage: Eukaryota; Viridiplantae; Streptophyta; Magnoliopsida; Solanales; Convolvulaceae. The transcript has 3 exons.